UCCCGCACAGUGACUUAGCAUAGGCUCGAAGUCAGUACACCUCAGAUGUGUACAGAUCCUACAGAUCUUUCCCUGCCUUGAGGACUGAAGAUCCGGUAGAACAGCUGCUCAGAACACCAUGUGAAUUUUCCACUGAACAAACCACAAGAAGACUGCUUCAGAGUUUCAUCUAAGUCCUCAGGCUAAAGUGCCAUGCUGCUUCUAUAGGUAGGUCUACUCUGAAGACUUGGGAGUUGGAGUGAAACUACUUGCACGCUGGAGAACUUCAAUGGGACAGAAAAUCUCCGCAUGAGAUUUCUUAAAAAUCUGCACCUGCAUUCUAUCCUCUGAAAAUGUGGCCCCUGCUGAAUGCCCCUAGGGCUCUUCGGUCAGAGCACAGAUCAUCGAUCAACCCUCCUGCCAAACAUCUCGGGAUCCUGGAGGGCCGAUGUCAUAGCCCCAAGCUUCCCAUAAACUAAUGGAGGUUGGAGAUUGUGGGAUGGGAUUUCCUGGAGAUUUUAAUUAUGGAUCUGUAAAUUAGGUUUUGACCUGAGGACCAUGAUUGUUUCCAAGAAACAACCCACAGAAACUCAUUGCUUGAUGAUCGGUUGUUUGGAAUUAUGAGGAUUUUGUUAAGCACAUGGAUUGAUUGUCUAUUGCAAUCCUAAACUUA
Molecule: long non-coding RNA, 652 nt
Organism: Ornithorhynchus anatinus (platypus)
Lineage: Eukaryota; Metazoa; Chordata; Mammalia; Monotremata; Ornithorhynchidae
Exons: 2
Source: RefSeq, a predicted model, not a curated record